UAUUCGGUAGCAAUACUGAGUAUUUUUAGUGGCGAAAGGGUGCGUAACACGUGGGUAAUCUACCGUAAAGUUCGGAAUAACUUCGAGAAAUCAAAGCUAAUACCGAAUGUGAUCUGACAGGGACAUCCCUGUUCCAUUAAAGCUAGGGACCUUCGGGCCUGGCGCUUUACGAUGAGCCCGCGCCCUAUCAGCUUGUUGGUGAGGUAAAAGCUCACCAAGGCUAAGACGGGUAGCCGGUCUGAGAGGACGAUCGGCCACACUGGAACUGAGACACGGUCCAGACACCUACGGGUGGCAGCAGUCGAGAAUCAUUCACAAUGGGGGAAACCCUGAUGGUGCGACGCCGCGUGGGGGAUGAAGGUCUUCGGAUUGUAAACCCCUGUCAUUUGUGAACAAACCUUUUGGUUUAAUAGAUCAAAAGCUGAUAGUAGCAAAAGAGGAAGGGACGGCUAACUCCGUGCCAGCAGCCGCGGUAAUACGGAGGUCCCAAGCGUUGUUCGGAUUUACUGGGCGUAAAGGGUGCGUAGGUGGCCAGGAAAGUUUGAUGUGAAAGCUCCGAGCUCAACUCGGAAAAUGCAUUGAAUACUACUUGGCUUGAGGAUCGGAGGGGAGACUGGAAUUCUCGGUGUAGCAGUGAAAUGCGUAGAUAUCGAGAGGAACACCAGUGGCGAAGGCGAGUCUCUGGACGAUUCCUGACACUGAGGCACGAAAGCUAGGGGAGCAAACAGGAUUAGAUACCCUGGUAGUCCUAGCCGUAAACGGUGCACACUUGCUGUAGGAGGAUUCGACCCCUUCUGUGGCGGAGCAAACGCG
RNAcentral lists this ribosomal RNA (813 nucleotides) under Verrucomicrobia bacterium SCGC AAA164-C11. RNAcentral describes it as "bacterial SSU rRNA". It matches the Rfam family "Bacterial small subunit ribosomal RNA", at positions 70 to 859 of the family's 1533-position model. The record is from RNAcentral. RNAcentral also lists the same sequence under 4 other names. Lineage: Bacteria; Pseudomonadati; Verrucomicrobiota.